Molecule: unclassified non-coding RNA, 285 nt
Filed under: plant metagenome
Description: partial contains small subunit ribosomal RNA, internal transcribed spacer 1, and 5.8S ribosomal RNA
Rfam family: Eukaryotic small subunit ribosomal RNA (bases 1-54)
Source: RNAcentral
GGAAGUAAAAGUCGUAACAAAGUUUCCGUAGGUGAACCUGCGGAAGGAUCAUUAUUGUAUAACCGAGGUGCGAGGGCUGUCGCUGACCCGAAAGGUCGUGCACGCCCGAGUGCCCUCACACACAUCCAUCUCACCCCUAUGUGCACCACCGCGUGGGUCCCCCUUUGGCUUGUUCGGAGGGGGGCUUACGUUUUCACACAAACUUUGUAUGCAGUGUAGAAUGUACUUUUUGUUUUUGCGAUCACGCAAUCAAUACAACUUUCAACAACGGAUCUCUUGGCUCUC